CGCUGUAAUGUUAUUAGAGCUACGCAGCGGAUCUCUCUGGUCUCUCCUGCCCUCUUCUCAGAAAUUAAAGCAAGGCUGCAUCCGAGAGUGGAGAAGGUCCCCCUUCUGGUAGUAGGAGGAAGGAUGCAAAAGUAAGAUCGCAGCCUUUUGCCACACACCGAAAGCUGAGGGGCCGGAGAGAAAGGGGGGGGGAUAUGUUUUAAGGAAGGCUGACCAUUGUCACCGAUUCCGCUCUGCUCCGUUUCUGUCGCCCCCCCCCCCACUUCAUUAGGCAACUCACCCCUGAUCUGCUGGUUUAUUUACUUAUUUCCUCCGCAACCGUGGAAGGGAACCUGUGAAUUUUCCACAAAUUUCACGGCGGAGGCUAUUUGAAAAGCAGUUUUCUUCUGCAAAUUGCGCCUCUUAAAACAAACGCGCGCCUGGUCGCGUGCUGUUUAAAUAGACAUUUUUAUAUAUCGAUUUUAUAUCUGCUGUCUCCUUUUCAUUUAAACAAGUGCACUGUUGCCGUCGUCUUAUUUCCGCAACUUUUAAUGAAUUUUUUUUUUAAGUAAUCACGGCAGCUGCCUCGCGUUUACUGGUACGAAUAUUAUUUGUAAAUCUGAUUGUAGGGGUUGCCUUUUUCUCGCCCUUCGGUGCUUCAACUAGGAUUAGGAUAUUGACGUCUCUCCAGUUCUAUGAAUAAGGAUGCCUCUAGGGAACUGCCCUUGGGGAGGAGCGGAAGAACUUCUGAUUUAUGAACUGCACUAUGAAGUUAUGUACUACCUGAGUAGAUAUUUAUUGAGAUGCAAUUUGGGACAUAGGCUCUAUCAAUCACAGUAGGUAAGUUUUUAAAGAACUCUGCCUAUGAUCACAAAAAUAAAUUCCAUAAGAGGAGAUUUUAAUCCAGCUCAAUUCUCUUUAGGUAGCAAGGUUGGAAUUCAGGCUUUGACCUGGUAAUUUUGUUUAUGUAUGACAGGAAACAUCUGUAGCAGCUAAAGGUGUUUCCAAGCAAAAGGGUUGACACCAUCCAGGCCUCAGUUUCUGCACGAAGGAAACAAACCUCUUGUAUUUUUCAACUAAAAAGUUCCAAUUAGUCAGCAAAUUCUGUUUUUUGUAUUUAAUAUAAAACGGUGGCAAGGCAGGAGAAUACAACUAAAAUACAUAAUUAUGUACCUCUUAAUUUUUUAACAUAAGCUUGUAUAAUCUUUCUAAGGUAUUAAAAACUUUGCUCCUUCUUUACUGAAGCAAACAGGAAAAUUCAUUAUCUAUCUAUCUAUAUAUCUAUCUAUCUAUCUAACUAUGUAUGUAUGUAUAUAUGUAUGUAUGUAUGUAUGUAUGUAUGUAUGUGUGUAUUUUAUUAAAUCAACAUUUUAGAUACAUUUCUUCAACUUGAUUUGUACCAAAAAUUGAAAAACUCUUGAUUAACACUUGCAAAAUCAGCUUUAUUUAAUUAAGAAUUUAAAAUGCAAUAAAUACACAUAUCCAUCCAAAAUGGUAUGCUUCAUAGCUUAAAGCACAACUGUUGCUUAACCACGGAGAAGCAAGUAUUAUUUGCCCCAGAUUAUUUAAACUCUGACAGUCCUUCAGAAACAAAAAGUAUAUGGGAGUGUAAUUUCUAAGGUGAAUUGUGAAAGGGAAGUGCAUCAGUGAGAGAGCUUAUGUAGAUAAAAAAAUCAGCUUCUAUUGUUCUCAACGUAAAAAACAAUCAUGUUCAUAUUCUGUGGCAGUCAUACUGUUUUAUGUGAAUGGAUAACAUUACAGAAAAAAUAUUGCAGGUUUUUUACAGAUGGCCUAAUUUUCUUUGCUGAAAUUGCAUUAAACGUUUGAGGAGCUGUUUUUCAGUUACAUGCAAAUGUAAGUGAUUCUGUCUAAAUAUGCUGUACUACUUUGCACAGCUCCUUUAUAGGUUUAAGCUAGGGUAGGAAAUGUAGUAACAGGAGACAACUGCAUUAAGUGCCUAUCUCCCCAGUUUUCUAAAUGUUUCUUACCCCUCCAGGAAUAAAUCUCAAUUCAGGAAGCCAAGCAUUCAUCAAAAUUUAAUUUGUUUCUUUAAAUGCACAACAAAAACUAAAUAAGAGCAAAACAUAAAGCUUCUCAUAAGCUUCAGGCUAUAUCUAUACAUGACCUGGAUAAUUUUCUAAAAGGAAAUGCCUCCCGUCCAAUUUUACAACCAUAUAAAAAGUAAAAACACUUGAAAUAAUAUCAUACUCUUGCUCUUGAUGCAUGAUUUAUAUGCUGUCAUGUGUCACUUUUUUUCUUAAUUUUCAUGUGAGAUAAAACUAGGAUGGAAAAACUAGUAAAGGAACAAACCAUGUAAAUGCACCUUAUACUGAGGUUUUUAUUAGUGGUGUUUUAAAAUAUUCACAUAUUUAUAUUUUUGCUGUACAGAAGUAUGGAUAUAGCAGAAUAAGUAGAGUUUAUAAAUGAUAUGUAUUCUCUAAAGAAUUUGGAAAUAUUUAAUAUCAAAUAAAUCCACAAUUUAAAAUGUCCACAGCAAAGCAUCAACCCCUAUGAGAAGUUUCAAAUCUCUGUAACAAAAUUGCAAUCCUGAGGUCCAAACCACUGGGGGGGAAAUAACCCACUGCUCUCACUACAGGUUAGUAUGUUUCAGGCUAUUUUCCUUCUUCUAAUCUCACUUAUCUUUUAUGAAUUUUGCCGGUAUGCCACCACAAUUCAUUAGAAUCAAGUUGCUACUACCGUCUUCACAGACAGCAGGAGUGCAAAGUUUACGUAAUUGCAAAAUGCACUGAGAUUUUCCUCAACACAGUGUGGUUUUAAAACCCCUUGUGAAAUAGUGAAAUAGGAGACUGACCUGAAGACUGUAUAAACCUGGAUGGUCUGGUUGUGAGUUGAAAGGUCAGGCUUGCUGAGGUAGGUCCUGAGGCUGCUUCAACCUAAUAGUAACACUUGAUUUGAACAGGAUUGUGUUAAAAGCCCAAGUUUCAUGAAUUCAUCUGUAUUGUUGGCAUGUCUGGAACUUUGCUAAAAAGCUGACAGUCUAAAGCUGACACACAGAGAACAGUGAUCAAGGAACUACAAAAAAGGAAGGUGUAACCAGCAACUAGAUAAGAUUAUAAUCUGAGAGAGGAAAACAUUGUUUUUCUGUUUCAUCCUGCUAGAUUUUCUUUGCAUUGUUUCUUUGCCCCCAGUUAUUUUCAUUGUGAAUUUCCUACUUUCUCCAUGCAUUUCCCCCUUUCUCCCAUUAAAAUCACCUAAUUUUGUAUAGAAUUACAAAUGUUUUAUAUUGGAAUUUAUGAAUUCCAUUAAUUGUCAUAUGAAAAACUGCAUUAACUGCACUUCACACAACAGAAAUUCUUGCAUGUUAAGCGAUACCAUUUCAAAAGUAGAUAAACAGUCACUUUUGACAUUUUUAAAAUCAAUUUAAGAUAAAAAAAAUUGCAUUCUUUUUUUCUGAUUAUUUUAUGCUAGUGACUUCAGAGAUACUUUUCAUUGUAGAAAAGGAUCCAUUUCGUCAAGUUUUAUUCUUUCUAAGUAUUUUCUCUGUAUCAAGUAUGGAACUGGGUGCUGAAAAUUAGGCUGUCAUAAAAAAAACAAAUAUUUUUUAAAAAUUAUAAAUAACUAAAGAAAUUAAAUUGCAAUCAAUCAGCAAGGACCAGAUGGUGUUCAGUGGAGAAUUCUAAAGGAACUAACAACCAGUAUAACUGAGCUGCUAACACAAAUAUGUAAUUUAUCAUUGAGAAGACUCUACUAGCAAUCUGGAGAAUGGCCAAGGUUAUACCCAUCUCUUUAAAAGGUGUUAAUGAUGAUCCUGGGAAUUAAAGCUAGUAAUUCACAUUUUGGUAUCAAAGAUCAUCUGAGGAAAAAAAAUGAAAUAAAAAUCUGGGGGGGGGGGGGGAAUGCAAGUCCUAUGUACUUUUAGCUAACCUCUUAAGUUAAUGAUUCAUGAAGUAGUCAACAUGCAUGAAAAUGACUUAAUUUUUGAAG
Molecule: long non-coding RNA, 3924 nt
Organism: Thamnophis elegans (Western terrestrial garter snake)
Lineage: Eukaryota; Metazoa; Chordata; Lepidosauria; Squamata; Natricidae
Exons: 2
Source: RefSeq, a predicted model, not a curated record